Non-coding RNA from Mycena vitilis, 95 nucleotides. The record is from the annotation of a GenBank genome assembly. Lineage: Eukaryota; Fungi; Basidiomycota; Agaricomycetes; Agaricales; Mycenaceae.
GACACUAUGGCCCAGUGGAAAGCUUAUGCUUUCACAGCCUCACACAUUCGAUCAUUGGGAGUGUAGGGGCGGGGGUUCGAUUCCCCUUAGUGCCA